This 370-nucleotide ribosomal RNA is filed under the name uncultured bacterium. RNAcentral's name for it is "bacterial SSU rRNA". It matches the Rfam family "Bacterial small subunit ribosomal RNA", at positions 917 to 1289 of the family's 1533-position model. The record is from RNAcentral.
GGGCCCGCACAAGCGGUGGAGCAUGUGGUUUAAUUCGAUGAUACGCGAGGAACCUUACCAGGGCUUAAAUGUUAGGUGACAGAUCUAGAAAUAGAUCCUUCUUCGGACUCAUUACAAGGUGCUGCAUGGUUGUCGUCAGCUCGUGCCGUGAGGUGUCAGGUUAAGUCCUAUAACGAGCGCAACCCCCCAUCGUUAGUUGCCAACGAGUAAUGUCGGGAACUCUAACGAAACUGCCGGUGCAAACCGUGAGGAAGGUGGGGAUGACGUCAAAUCAUCACGGCCCUUACGUCCUGGGCUACACACGUGCUACAAUGGUCGGUACAGAGAGCAGCCACUACGCGAGUAGGAGCAAAUCUUCAAAGCCGAUCUC